Molecule: ribosomal RNA, 805 nt
Filed under: Physcia stellaris
Lineage: Eukaryota; Fungi; Ascomycota; Lecanoromycetes; Caliciales; Physciaceae
Description: eukaryotic LSU rRNA
Rfam family: Eukaryotic large subunit ribosomal RNA
Source: RNAcentral
GUCUUGAAACACGGACCAAGGAGUCUAAUAUUUAUGCGAGUGUUUGGGUGUUAAACCCAUGCGCGGAAUGAAAGUGAACGGAGGUGGGAACCCUUAAGGGCGCACCAUCGACCGAUCCGGAAGUUUACGGAUGGGUUUGAGUAAGAGCAUAACUAUUGGGACCCGAAAGAUGGUGAACUAUGCCUGAAUAGGGUGAAGCCAGGGGAAACCCUGGUGGAGGCUCGCAGCGGUUCUGACGUGCAAAUCGACCGUCAAAUUUGGGUAUAGGGGCGAAAGACUAAUCGAACCAUUCUAGUAGCUGGUUCCUGUCGAAGUUUCCCUCAGGAUAGCAGUAACGUUUUCAGUUUUAUGAGGUAAAGCGAAUGAUUAGAGGCCUUAGGGAUGAAACAUCCUUAACCUAUUCUCAAACUUUAAAUAUGUAAGAAGUCCUUGUUACUUAUUUGAACGUGGACAUUUGAAUGUACCGUUACUAGUGGGCCAUUUUUGGUAAGCAGAACUGGCGAUGCGGGAUGAACCGAACGCGAGGUUAAGGUGCCGGAAUGCACGCUCAUCAGACACCACAAAAGGUGUUAAUUCAUCCAGACAGCAGGACGGUGGCCAUGGAAGUCGGAAUCCGCUAAGGAGUGUGUAACAACUCACCUGCCGAAUGAAUUAGCCCUGAAAAUGGAUGGCGCUCAAGCGUGCUACCCAUACCUCGCCGCCAGGGUAAAAACGAUGCCCUGGCGAGUAGGCAGGCGUGGAGGUCCGUGACGAAGCCUUGGGAGUGAUCCCGGGUAGAACGGCCUCUAGUGCAGAUCUUGGUGGU